Pteropus alecto (black flying fox) is the source of this 115-nucleotide non-coding RNA. Lineage: Eukaryota; Metazoa; Chordata; Mammalia; Chiroptera; Pteropodidae. The record is from Rfam.
ACCUACAGCCACGCCACCCUGAACAAGCCGAUGUCUGAUCUCGGAAGCUAAGCAGGGUCGAGCCUGGUUAGUAUUUGGAUGGGAGACCACCUAGGAAGACCAGGUGCUGUAGGCA